Molecule: ribosomal RNA, 359 nt
Filed under: uncultured bacterium
Lineage: Bacteria
Description: bacterial SSU rRNA
Rfam family: Bacterial small subunit ribosomal RNA
Source: RNAcentral
CUAUGCGCCUUGCCAGCCCGCUCAGUCAGAGUUUGAUCCUGGCUCAGGAUGAACGCUGGCGGCGCGCCUAAUACAUGCAAGUCGAGCGACGAAACCGAAGUGGGUAACCACUUCGGCUGAAAGCGGCGAACGGGUGAGUAACACGUGGGUAACGUGCCCCGAACUCUGGAAUAACAACGGGAAACCGUUGCUAAUGCCGGAUGACCCCUGUAGAUCGCAUGUUCAGCAGGGCAAAGUUUUCGGUUCGGGAUCGGCCCGCGACCUAUCAGCUUGUUGGUGGGGUAACGGCCUACCAAGGCAGUGACGGGUAGCUGGCGUGAGAGCGUGGCCAGCCACACUGGGACUGAGACACGGCCCAG